CCUACGGGAGGCAGCAGUGAGGAAUAUUGGUCAAUGGACGCAAGUCUGAACCAGCCAUGCCGCGUGCAGGAAGACGGCUCUAUGAGUUGUAAACUGCUUUUGUACGAGGGUAAACGCAGAUACGCGUAUCUGUCUGAAAGUAUCGUACGAAUAAGGAUCGGCUAACUCCUUGCCAGCAGCCGCGGUAAUACGGAGGAUUCAAGCGUUAUCCGGAUUUAUUGGGUUUAAAGGGUGCGUAGGCGGUCGGAUAAGUUAGAGGUGAAAUCCCGAGGCUCCACUUCGGAAUUGCCUCUGAUACUGUUCGGCUAGAGAGUAGUUGCGGUAGGCGGAAUGUAUGGUGUAGCGGGGAAAUGCUUAGAGAUCAUACAGAACACCGAUUGCGAAGGCAGCUUACCAAGCUACUUCUGACGUUGAGGCACGAAAGCGUGGGGAGCAAACAGGAUUAGAUACCCCUGUAGUC
Molecule: ribosomal RNA, 460 nt
Filed under: uncultured bacterium
Lineage: Bacteria
Description: partial 16S ribosomal RNA
Rfam family: Bacterial small subunit ribosomal RNA
Source: RNAcentral